This 468-nucleotide ribosomal RNA is filed under the name uncultured bacterium. RNAcentral describes it as "partial 16S ribosomal RNA". It matches the Rfam family "Bacterial small subunit ribosomal RNA", at positions 28 to 507 of the family's 1533-position model. The record is from RNAcentral.
GACGAACGCUGGCGGCGUGCUUAACACAUGCAAGUCGAACGGAAAGGCCCUGCUUUUGUGGGGUGCUCGAGUGGCGAACGGGUGAGUAACACGUGAGUAACCUGCCCUUGACUUUGGGAUAACUUCAGGAAACUGGGGCUAAUACCGGAUAGGAGCUCCUGCUGCAUGGUGGGGGUUGGAAAGGUUCGGCGGUUGGGGAUGGACUCGCGGCUUAUCAGCUUGUUGGUGGGGUAGUGGCUUACCAAGGCUUUGACGGGUAGCCGGCCUGAGAGGGUGACCGGCCACAUUGGGACUGAGGUACGGACCAGACUCCUACGGGAGGCAGCAGUGGGGAAUAUUGCACAGUGGGCGGAAGCCUGAUGCAGCAACGCCGCGUGCGGGAUGACGGCCUUCGGGUUGUAAACCGCUUUCGCCUGUGACGAAGCGUGAGUGACGGUAAUGGGUAAAGAAGCACCGGCUAACUACGUG